ACACAUGCAAGUCGGACGGCAGCACAGAGAAGCUUGCUUCUUGGGUGGCGAGUGGCGAACGGGUGAGUAACAUAUCGGAACGUACCGAGUAAUGGGGGAUAACUAAUCGAAAGAUUAGCUAAUACCGCAUAUUCUCUGAGGAGGAAAGCAGGGGACCUUCGGGCCUUGCGUUAUUCGAGCGGCCGAUAUCUGAUUAGCUAGUUGGUGGGGUAAAGGCCUACCAAGGCGACGAUCAGUAGCGGGUCUGAGAGGAUGAUCCGCCACACUGGGACUGAGACACGGCCCAGACUCCUACGGGAGGCAGCAGUGGGGAAUUUUGGACAAUGGGCGCAAGCCUGAUCCAGCCAUGCCGCGUGUCUGAAGAAGGCCUUCGGGUUGUAAAGGACUUUUGUCGGGGAAGAAAAGGCUGUUGCUAAUACCGACAGUUGAUGACGGUACCUGAAGAAUAAGCACCGGCUAACUACGUGCCAGCAGCCGCGGU
This 481-nucleotide ribosomal RNA is filed under the name unidentified oral bacterium SH27. RNAcentral's name for it is "bacterial SSU rRNA". It matches the Rfam family "Bacterial small subunit ribosomal RNA", at positions 51 to 521 of the family's 1533-position model. The record is from RNAcentral.